UACGUAGGGUGCAAGCGUUGUCCGGAAUUAUUGGGCGUAAAGAGCUCGUAGGCGGUUUGUUGCGUCGGCUGUGAAAUCCCGAGGCUCAACCUCGGGUCUGCAGUCGAUACGAGCAAACUAGAGUGUUGCAGGGGAGACUGGAAUUCCUGGUGUAGCGGUGAAAUGCGCAGAUAUCAGGAGGAACACCGGUGGCGAAGGCGGGUCUCUGGGCAACAACUGACGCUGGAGGAAGCGAAAGCGUGGGGAGCGAACAGG
Molecule: ribosomal RNA, 255 nt
Filed under: uncultured bacterium
Lineage: Bacteria
Description: partial 16S ribosomal RNA
Rfam family: Bacterial small subunit ribosomal RNA
Source: RNAcentral